Molecule: non-coding RNA, 157 nt
Organism: Pelobates cultripes (western spadefoot toad)
Lineage: Eukaryota; Metazoa; Chordata; Amphibia; Anura; Pelobatidae
Source: the annotation of a GenBank genome assembly
ACUAGUGACAGAGUGAGGGAGGGAGUGGGUGACUAGUGACAGAGUGAGGAAGGGGGUGACACAGUGACAGAGUGAAGGAGGUGGUGACUGUCACUAGUCACCCCAUCCCUCCCUCUGUCACUAGUCACUCCCUCCCUCCCUCCCUCUGUCACUAGUC